UGGGGAAUAUUGCGCAAUGGGGGAAACCCUGACGCAGCGACGCCGCGUGCGGGAUGAAGGCCUUCGGGUUGUAAACCGCUUUUGAUUGGGAGCAAGCUUUCGGGUGAGUGUACCUUUCGAAUAAGCGCCGGCUAACUACGUGCCAGCAGCCGCGGUAAUACGUAGGUCCCGAGCGUUGUCCGGAUUUAUUGGGCGUAAAGCGAGCGCAGGCGGUUAGAUAAGUCUGAAGUUAAAGGCAGUGGCUCAACCAUUGUAGGCUUUGGAAACUGUUUAACUUGAGUGCAGAAGAGGAGAGUGGAAUUCCAUGUGUAGCGGUGAAAUGCGUAGAUAUAUGGAGGAACACCAGUGGCGAAGGCGACUCUCUGGUCUGUAACUGACGCUGAGGCUCGAAAGCGUGGGUAGCAAACAGG
Molecule: ribosomal RNA, 410 nt
Filed under: Bacteroidota bacterium
Lineage: Bacteria; Pseudomonadati; Bacteroidota
Description: Bacteroidetes bacterium partial 16S ribosomal RNA
Rfam family: Bacterial small subunit ribosomal RNA
Source: RNAcentral